GGUUAAACAAAGAAUACAAAUAAAUUUUAUAAAUAUAUAAGUUAAAUUGAAUUUAUUUAAUAAAUAAAAAAAAAUUAGGUGAAAUUUUAUUUUUUUUUUAUUAAUAUAAAAAAUUAUAUUGAAACUUAAAAAUUUUAUUUUUAAACUAGGAUUAGAUACCCUAUUAUUUAAUUAUUUAAAAAAUAUAGAAAUUAGAGUAGUAAUAGUUAUGAUCUUGAAACUCAAAAAAUUUGGCGGUAUUUUAGUCUAUUCAGAGGAACCUGUAAUGUAAUCGAUAAUCCACGAUGGAUCUCACUUAAUUUUGUAAUUUAAUUUGUAUAUCGCCGUUAUUUAAAAAUUUUAUAARAAAAAUAAUUUUUUAAAAUUUUUAUUAAAAAAUAAAUCAGGUCAAGGUGCAGUUUAUGAUUAAGUUUUAUAUGGGUUACAAUAAAUUUAUUUAUACGGACUAAAAAAUGAAAUAUUUUUAARAAGGUGGAUUUGACAGUAAAUUUUUAAAGAUAAAAAAAUUGAUUUUAGCUCUAAAAUAUGUACAC
Molecule: ribosomal RNA, 533 nt
Filed under: Campsicnemus sp. 9 KRG-2014
Lineage: Eukaryota; Metazoa; Arthropoda; Insecta; Diptera; Dolichopodidae
Description: partial 12S ribosomal RNA
Source: RNAcentral